AUCCAACUGACGAGUCCUAAAUAGGACGAAGCGACACGCGUCCUGUAU
Molecule: non-coding RNA, 48 nt
Filed under: Schistosoma margrebowiei
Lineage: Eukaryota; Metazoa; Platyhelminthes; Trematoda; Strigeidida; Schistosomatidae
Source: RNAcentral